Molecule: long non-coding RNA, 1521 nt
Organism: Scylla paramamosain (green mud crab)
Lineage: Eukaryota; Metazoa; Arthropoda; Malacostraca; Decapoda; Portunidae
Exons: 2
Source: RefSeq, a predicted model, not a curated record
GGAAAACAGCAACCCUACAGUAAGUGGUUAUUCUUUACUAAGGUCUCAUUCUUAUAAUUCUCAAAAUUUAAAUCUUUCUUCAUUGCAAGUAAAUGAAAACUCAAAACAUAAACAUGGAAUGAGUUAAUUUCAGAUCAUUACUAAUAACAAAGAUGAUAUCUACAAUCAUUGCAUCUCAGUACUGAAGCUUUCUUGCACAGAAUUAACAUGAUGCAUGCAUGGCAGGUGGUUAGACAUCAAGCAAACAAACAGUACUAACAUAAUGCUACUAUACAUGUGGCUCUCAAAAAAGGAUACACAACUUUGACCUGAAGUGAGCUAAUUACUUACACAAUUGGGUCGAUUUAUUUAUUUACUUAUCUAAUAUAAUUAUUUAUUUUUUUAUUAUUUAUUUUCUGUCAAGAGUAUAUAGCAACUACAGGCUGUUUGUUGGAGGCUUGGAUGAACAGUCCCUGCAAGAUGUUUUGAGUGAGUAGUAAUUUUUUAAAUUUAUUCUUUUCUACAUACGGGAAGCUUAAAUAAAAGUAAAAGCUUGCUAAACUGCAGUUUAGUAAAUUAAUUAAUUAAUAAAUUAAUUAAGCUUUCAAAAGGUUCACCUAUUCAUUUCCAGAAUCGUCUCUGUGUUCUUGUCUUGAAACAUUUAAAAUCGUAGAAGAAAAGUUCCAGUUUGAUAAUGAAGAAAAAUGAGAGUGAAGCCACUGGUUAACUCGUGUUUUUGUAGAACAGAAUAAGGGUGUGAGGUGGUAAGAAGCCGUCCUAUCAUCAUAACAGACAGUAAGUCUUCUUUCGAUAACUGCCUAAAAAGUGUUAUCUGUUCUGAAUAGUAAUAAUAAAAGUAUUUGUAUAUAAUUGAUAUUGACGUAAAUCCACCUUUAAAAAAUCCAAUUCUUUACAAAAGUGAAUAAGGUAGCAUUAGGAUCUUGUCAAAAGUCAGGCGCCAUAAGAACUGCAGACACGAGAAUCAUGAGAUAGUAGCGCCUCUUCCUUUGGAGCAGAGUGGCGCCGGGCAGACUGCGGGUUCCUAUCUGGACGACACCAUUUUCUGCUCCUGAUCAACAUUGUUUACUUCGGUUCCUCUGAGAUGACGCUGGGGAAGCCAUCUAUGAGGCCCUUAUACUCAAAGAGGAGGUGGCACAGUGGAUCCCAAUCAUGCUUGGGCUCCUCCUCAAACACUGUGCCAAUGUCAGCAUAAGCCUCGCUCACAUGGUGGAUAGCAUCAGUCAGUCCUGGGGCACCUAAUGAAGAAAGAGAAAAGUUACCUAAAAAAUAAUGGAAGGAAUCCCUACUUUAGAUAUCUUUUAUGUUAUGUUAUCUUCUAAUCACUUGUGUAAAAAUGUCACAAAUACUAUUAUUCUUUGUUCUUACUAUUCAUUACAAAAGUUCUUUAUUAUACUAUCUAGCUCUAUGUAGCUUCACCAUUCAUUAUUAAUGUACAUGAGACAUUGUGAAAGAUGUGAUGAUGAAAAUUUUAAGUAUGAUAGCAUUACUUGCCAAAUAUAGUGUUUAUAGCUGUAUUCACAA